RNAcentral lists this ribosomal RNA (468 nucleotides) under uncultured bacterium. Its description in RNAcentral is "partial 16S ribosomal RNA". It matches the Rfam family "Bacterial small subunit ribosomal RNA", at positions 28 to 507 of the family's 1533-position model. The record is from RNAcentral.
GACGAACGCUGGCGGCGUGCUUAACACAUGCAAGUCGAACGGAAAGGCCCUGCUCUUGCUGGGUUCUCGAUUGGCGAACGGGUGAGUAACACGUGAGUAACCUGCCCUUGACUGUGUGAGAACUUCAGGAAACUGGGGCUCAUAUCCCGUAGAAUCUCCUGCUCCAUGUUGGGCGUUGGAAAGUUACGGCUGUUGGGGAUGUACUCGCGGCUUAUCAGCUUGUUUGUGUGGUAGGUGCUUACGAAGGCUUUGACGGGUAGCCUGCCUGAGAGCGUGAACGGGCACCUUGGGACUGAGGUACGGACCAGACUCCUACGGGCGGCAGCAGUGGGGAACAUUGCACAGUGGGCGGAAGCCUGAUGCAGAGACCCCGCGUGCGGAAUACCCGCUUUCGGGUUGUGAACAGAUUUCGAAUGUGACGAAGCGUGCGUGACGGUAAUGGGUAAAGAAGCAACGGCUAACUACGUG